This is a non-coding RNA of Vicia faba (fava bean), 288 nucleotides long. Lineage: Eukaryota; Viridiplantae; Streptophyta; Magnoliopsida; Fabales; Fabaceae. The record is from the annotation of a GenBank genome assembly.
AUGAACCCAUUUCCAUCAUCGUACUCCUUCGCAUUUUCCUCCGUCGAAGAAGCAGACACUGAACAUCGUCAUCGCAAGUGGAAACUUCGCAUCGAGCCUUCCUUGAACGCAAUUUGUCCUCCACCUCACCGGCAUCAGUCCCGCGACCUUAAUGCUCCUCACCUUCCUGAUUCAACAUCGGCGCUUCUCGCCACUCAGUAUUCUCAUCCUCGGCCGACCGUGUUUACUUGCAAUGCCAUCAUAGCAGCGACGUACCACGCCAAGAGGCUGCGUCGAUGUGGCUCUUGA